This 232-nucleotide long non-coding RNA is filed under the name Anser brachyrhynchus (Pink-footed goose). RNAcentral's name for it is "lncRNA (ENSABRG00000017063.1)". Lineage: Eukaryota; Metazoa; Chordata; Aves; Anseriformes; Anatidae. The record is from RNAcentral.
GAUGCUCAUUGGCUGCCAAAAGGUAAAGACUAUCAGACAAUUGGAAACUAUAAGGCUGAAGUAAAAGAUGUGUGAGGACUUGUUCAUGAAGACUGCAACCCAUUCAAAGGCAAGACAAGGACUAGGAUGAGUUUUGCCUGCCUGGUCAGUCAACCCCAUGACAUUAUGAGAUAGGGAGAUGCAGGUUCAGCUGAAGACAGCCUGUCUGCAUGGCAAGAGACAGCACACUCUG